GACGAAGGUGGCGACCGUUGUUCGGAAUCACUGGGCGUAAAGAGCACGUAGGCGGCAAGGUAUGUCGGGUGUGAAAUCCCUCGGCCUAACCGAGGAAUUGCGCCCGAAACUACCUUGCUUGAGGAUGGAAGGGGAGCGUGGAAUUCCUGGUGGAGCGGUGAAAUGCGUUGAUAUCAGGAGGAACACCGGCGGCGAAGGCGACGCUCUGGUCCAUUACUGACGCUGAGGUGCGAAAGCCAGGGGAGCAAACGGG
Molecule: ribosomal RNA, 253 nt
Filed under: uncultured bacterium
Lineage: Bacteria
Description: partial 16S ribosomal RNA
Rfam family: Bacterial small subunit ribosomal RNA
Source: RNAcentral